Triticum aestivum (bread wheat) is the source of this 126-nucleotide non-coding RNA. NCBI's taxonomy places the organism in Eukaryota, Viridiplantae, Streptophyta, Magnoliopsida, Poales, Poaceae. The record is from Rfam.
GUAUUACUCCCUCCGUCCGAAAAAAUUUGUCCCAAGUUUGUCCCUUAGAUGGAUGUAUCUAGUACUAACUUGGUGCUAAAUACAUCCAUUUAAGGGACAAGCUUUUUCGGGCGAAGGGAGUACUUA